Carassius gibelio (silver crucian carp) is the source of this 4983-nucleotide long non-coding RNA. RefSeq lists it as uncharacterized. NCBI's taxonomy places the organism in Eukaryota, Metazoa, Chordata, Actinopteri, Cypriniformes, Cyprinidae. The record is from RefSeq and is a predicted model, not a curated record. The transcript is spliced from 3 exons.
CAGCCUAGCUUGUGAAUUUGAUUAUAAAAUGAGAUUAUGAUGUUGAAAAACAAUGGAAAAUGGUUAAUUAUUCUCCUGCCACAAAACAUAAAAAAAAUAAUAACGUUCUAAAUAAUUAACGUUUAUAAACAAUAAUAAAUUUUUUUUUUAAAAAAUUAUUUGAGGGCAUAUAAUAACCAGAUAAAAAAAUACAUAAAAGAAUGAAUGAGUGUAUGAAUAAAUUAAUGAAUACAAUUAUUUUAAUUGAAAAUAAAUAAAUAAAACAUCGGUUGUCUUUACAGACAAAAACAUAAAUACAAAUAUUUGUUAAAAAUUGAAAAAAAAGAGUCUUAAAAGAAACCAUAGACUCAAAAAAUACAUUUCAAAUUUAAUUAUUUAACUUUCCCUUUUGUGCAAAAUCAGAAUGAGCUUUAUUGCCAAGAAUGUUUACAAUGCGCACACAAUACAUUUUUCUUGGUGACAGGUGCUUCCAGUGUUGAAAAAGUAGAAACAUAGGCAAUGCAAAAUGGAAUAUCACACACAACAGUAUAAAAUGUAAGCAAUAAAUUAAAUUUAAUACAAUACAAUAUGUACUUGAAAGUUGAAACAUAAUGUUCCCGUUUACCUUGUUCCCUGAGAAAGCGGAUUGAGAUCAGCGCAUUAGCAAAUGUCUUAUUUGUGACCAGCUGUGAAUAAUGUGUGUAACACGUUGAUAGAAUUGACCCGGUGGUAAUAUAGCCCCGGUUGAUGACGUCAUCGGGGCGUGCCCGCAACACGUGGGCUAUAAAUAGAUAAGCCACAGGUGCAUCAACAGGACAUUUUGUCUGAAGAGCAGUCCUGGGACAUAUUCAGCACGGCAAUGCAGCGCAGCAUCUCGUUCCGCUUUCUCAGGUAACAAGGUUGCAGUCAAGUAACCAGGAACGUUCCCUUUCGAAAGCUUCAGUCGAUGCUGCGCUGCUCAGCACAUUGGGAACGAGAAUACCCACGCCGCCGUGCUUGAAAAAUGUCUGGACCCCUAAGGUUGUGCAGGUGUGCUACCAAACCACAAGAAGGCCUCAGACAUUAGCUUGUGAUGUUGACUCAAGGACAUGAGAGGCCGGAGUAGUAUGGACCAGGGCCGUGAAGAGACCUUUGGAGGGGCAGGUGCUCAAAGUAUAAAAGGGGCACACGGAACAAGGCUUUAAAUAGCGUGGUUCAAAAUAGCAAUACAGCAAUAUAUUGUGAAGCAUUCCUUGCCGAUUUGCGUAUCGAUAUGGAUGAUUAUGUAUUGAUAUGGCAGCAAAUGCUGUGAUGCAGUUUUUAAAAAGAAAAAGAUUAGAAGAGACAAUUUUAAGUUUAAAAGUAAAAAAAUAAAAAAUUAUUUCCACCUAAUAAUAGCUCUGGGAUUAGAAACUGAAAUGUCUUAAAUUGUCCCAACCUGAAGGUUUUUUCUUCUCUGUUCUACAGAAUAAUUAAGAACAGCUGUUAUAGUAAAAACUACAGAAAACAACUCUACAUUUUCCUCUUUCUCACCAGCCUCGGUCUCCUGGCUUGCUUACCUGCUCUUUCUGUCACUUGUGCGUCUACAUUUGCCUCUUUUUCUUCCUCUAUCUCCAUCUCCUCAUCUGAUCUUUUACUUUCCAGUCUCUGUCCAUCUAAGAACAAGGCACAAUCUACUAUUUCAUUAUCAAUCUAUUAUUUUAACCAUCACUACUAUUCUUGCACCUAAUCAAUAAGUCCACCUUAAAUAUUGAUACAAAACAAUAAACAACUGAGUCAUGCUAUGAAAAUUGUGCUCUUCUCUCUCUCUCUCUCUCUCUCUGGAGUUUGAUGUCCUCCCAAUCACUUCCACCAAUUACUUCCACUCACUCCCUCACCUGUCCCAGGACACUUAGCCACUCACCCAAAUAGCAAAAUAAUGUCAUUAAUAACUUACCCUCAUGUUGUUCCAAACCGGAACCACAAAAAAGAACCGGUGAACCAUUUUCUUCAACCAGUUUAUUGAAUCGAACUGUCCGAAAGAAUAUGCAUGACGAAUCACAGGGAAACACAGGUGGGCGGACACAAGGCUGGGCGAACUGAAUCUUCGGUGGACAACGGAUGAUGGUGCUUGGGCCCGUGAUGAUCCCUUGAACCCGGUGCGUGUGUAAUCCUCGUGACGGUGCUCGGUAAUCCAGUGCUGGGUGAAGAUCCAGGAACAACGAUGAUACAGGAAGACUCAGGCAGGAACUAGGGACACAGGAACAGGUACAGGAGCACACCGGGGAGAAACAACGAUCUGACAUGAAACACCAGUUACUGAACUUAUAUAGGAGACAAACAAUUGAAACCAGCUGGCGCUGCUGAUCAUCGCUGAUCAGUGACCACGCCCAUAGACACACACACAACAGCACGCUAGACGAGAGAGAGAGUGAAUUCAUGAACCGUGACAGUACCCCCUCCCCUAAGAACGCCUCCUGGCAUUCCCUGGCGGACUUACCUGACGAUUGUAAUCAUCGAUCAGAGAGUGAUCAAGAAUGUCUCUAGUAGGAACCCAACUUCUCUCCUCUGGACCGUAACCCUCCCAGUCCACCAGGUACUGAAAUCCACGUCCCCUCCUUCUCGAGUCCAGAAUACGACUAACCAAAUAAGUAGGUUCCCCAUCUACGAGACGCGGCGGGGGAGGAACCGGGACAGGCGGAUUAAUAGGUGCCCAAAACACGGGUUUGAUCUUUGAUACAUGGAAGGCGGGGUGAAUUCUCCUGUACCUAGGAUGAAGUUUGAGGCGGACUGCCACCGGACUAAUGAUCUUGGUGACAGGAAACGGGCCAAUAAAUUUGGGAGCAAGCUUAUUAGAGACAGAGCGGAGAGGAAUGUUCUUAGUAGAAAGCCACACUUUUUGACCAACGACGUAUACGGGAGGCUUUGACCGGUGGCGAUCGGCCUUGGCGCGCGCCCCCAUUUGGAGAAGAGUCUCACGGGCUCUAGUCCAAGUGUGGUGACACCUCUGGAUGAAGGCGUGAGCGGAGGGGACCGCGACUUCGGAUUCCGUACUGGCAAAAACUUGUGGCUGGUAACCUCAACUACACUCAAAUGGAGUAAGGCCCGUAGCUGACACUGGUAACGAGUGGUGUGCGUACUCCACCAUAGAAAGUUGUUGGCUCCAAGAGGAAGGAUUCUUGGAAACCAAACAUCGCAAUACUCUCUCCAGCUCUUGGUUGGCCCUCUCUGAUUGAUCAUUGCUUUGGGGAUGAAACCCCGAAGAGAGACUAACCGUCGCUCCCAAUAAUCUACAAAACUCUUGCCAAAAUUUGGACACAAAUUGGGGACCCCUGUCGGAGACCACGUCCAUCGGGAGGCCAUGUAAACGAAAGACGUGAUCUAUGACAACAACCGCUGUCUCCUUGGCUGAAGGUAAUUUGGGCAAGGCGAUAAAAUGAGCCGCUUUCGAGAACCGGUCCACAACGUCAAAACGUCAAAACGUCUUGCCUCGGGAGGGCGGUAGCAAAAUCUAGCACGAUGUGGGACCAGGGUCUCAAAGGGACUGACAACGGUUGGAGUAACCCAUCAGGGGGUCGGUUGGACGUCUUACCAGUGGCACAAACAGAGCAAGCCAAAACAAAACUACGGAUAUCACGAGCCAUUAACCGCCACCAGAAUCGUUGUUUAUCCAAAAAACUGGUACGAUUAGCUCCUGGAUGACUUCAGACCGAUACUCCUCAGGCAAAAAUAACCGGUUCGGUGGGCAAUUGGGCCUAGGCGUUACCCCUUCUAAGGCCUUCAUGACCUUCAAUUCGACCUUCCAUCUGAGAGUGGAGACCACUAAUGUCUCGGGUAAAAUACACUCGGGAGUGGACGGGCGUUCGGAAUGGUCAAAAACACGAGAUAAAGAAUCGUGUUUGAUGUUUUUGGAACCCGGGCGGUACGAAAGAGAAAAGUCAAAACGACCGAAAAAAAGUGCCCACCGAGCCUGCCUAGAGUUGAGUCUUUUAGCAGUUCUAAUUGUAACCCAGGUUACCAGUGGAGUAACAGAAAAAAUAUUGUUAUUAAUAUAACACUAUAAUAACGUGAGAGUUAUUAAAAAGUAUUCAAAAUUAGUAAUUUCAAAAAAGAAAAAUAUUACUUUCAUACAAACAUAUAUUUUCAUUUGAGAAAUACUAUGACCAAUGGUGAUUAGUUUUGAACCUGAGAUGAGCCAAUACGAGCGCAGUUUUUGGCGCUGCGUAAGAAUUGAUUUCCGGGUUUUCGCAUGAGGUAUAUGCGUGAAGUUAAGAGGCAACUCUCUCUAGUGUGCACGGAUGCCUGAUGAGUGCUGUGUCUCGAUGCUCCGGGAAACAGAAAUAUAGAAAUUAGCCUUAUAGAUGAGUUUGGUCGAUGGAUUGAUGGUAAAGGGAGCGAUUGUAAUGUGGCGUGCUGUGCCUGCAUCAUUCUGGAAUAUUCUGAGUUAAACGAUUUCCUUGGUCAGGUUUUUUUUCUUCUGUUAUGUCUUUUCCAAAUUCGCUGUGUAUACUGGAUCUGUCCUGGCCUUCCAGUGGUUUUGAGGAGGGUUUGGACUGGCGAGCCUCCCUCGAGUUGUUUUUGGAUCUUUCUGUUGAAGAAGUAUUCGCACUGAUUCAACUGCAAAUGGUAGGAAAAGGACUAACUUUCCUCAUCUUUUUAUUUUUUUAUUUUUUUUUUUCCGGAUGGAGACCUUUUUCAUUACCCAGAGAUAAAGGACAAUUAUUUAUUUUAUUUUUUUAUUUUAUUUUUCCUAAAACUUUUCAAAGCACUCUUUCACAAGGACUUCAAUUCUGAUUGGAUUUCAUUGUAAAAGAAAAAAAGAGAAGAACCAUUUGUUGUGCAAUUGGGUUGUAUGUUGUUUAUUUAGGAUUUACCCUGUUGAAACCCAAAGGGAAAAAAAACUGAGAUCUAAAGUGUUGAAAUCUUACAUUCUGGUUGGAAAGGAAAUACAUAUGUACAUUUUAUUUCAUUUUAUUUUAUUUGUUAUCAACCAAUGUAAUUCACCUGUUGUCAUUCACCUGCAAAUACAGUGUGUGUUCAAACGAG